This is a non-coding RNA of Salmo salar (Atlantic salmon), 165 nucleotides long. The record is from RefSeq and is a predicted model, not a curated record. Lineage: Eukaryota; Metazoa; Chordata; Actinopteri; Salmoniformes; Salmonidae.
UGGCUAUAUUGGAAACCCUGGUCUGCCUGGGCAAAAAGGAAACAAGGGUAAAGCUGGACCUGGUGGAAGUCCUGGCGACACUGGAAGCAGAGGAGACAGUGGCAGAGCUGGAAAACGGGGCAAGGCUGGCAAGAGAGGAGAUAAGGGAGAACUAGGCCCAGAGGG